GUUCUGGUCGAUCAACAGAAGGGAGCAAAGGGGAUUGAACCCUAGUUUAUCAAAAAUCCACAAGAAUCAAGUGAAAUCUUGAGAAAAUCGAAAAUAUAAACAACGAAUUCUCAGCUCCUACAUCUGUUCUUCGAAGUGGCGUAAAGGAAGAGGGCUCAAGUACUAAGAAGUCGGAAGGCUCGCAGGAUCGAGGUAAAUCCUCACUUUUGGCGAUUUGGAGAUUUGGAGCGAGCAUGUGUCCAUGUCUUGUUAUACCAAACGCUUCCGCUAGCUUAUUCGCAUCUUUUUGGUCCAUGACUUGUUAUUUUGUCCAACUUUGUUAGUAGUCGUACAUUUGUAAAACUUGUUGUCUUCGUUUGUGGUGGUUUUAUGUCAAACGGAUCGUAGAAUAUUAUUUAGUGGAUCAAGUUAAAAACAGGGGGCAUGUUCGUUUUUCA
Molecule: long non-coding RNA, 437 nt
Organism: Helianthus annuus (common sunflower)
Lineage: Eukaryota; Viridiplantae; Streptophyta; Magnoliopsida; Asterales; Asteraceae
Exons: 3
Source: RefSeq, a predicted model, not a curated record